GAUGAACGCUGGCGGCGUGCCUAAUACAUGCAAGUCGAGCGAACAGACGAGGAGCUUGCUCCUCUGACGUUAGCGGCGGACGGGUGAGUAACACGUGGAUAACCUACCUAUAAGACUGGGAUAACUUCGGGAAACCGGAGCUAAUACCGGAUAAUAUAUUGAACCGCAUGGUUCAAUAGUGAAAGACGGUUUUGCUGUCACUUAUAGAUGGAUCCGCGCCGCAUUAGCUAGUUGGUAAGGUAACGGCUUACCAAGGCAACGAUGCGUAGCCGACCUGAGAGGGUGAUGCGCCACACUGGGACUGAGACACGGUCCAGACUCCUACGGGAGGCAGCAGUAGGGAAUCUUCCGCAAUGGGCGAAAGCCUGACGGAGCAACGCCGCGUGAGUGAUGAAGGUCUUCGGAUCGUAAAACUCUGUUAUUAGGGAAGAACAAAUGUGUAAGUAACUAUGCACGUCUUGACGGUACCUAAUCAGAAAGCCACGGCUAACUACGUG
RNAcentral lists this ribosomal RNA (497 nucleotides) under uncultured bacterium. Its description in RNAcentral is "partial 16S ribosomal RNA". It matches the Rfam family "Bacterial small subunit ribosomal RNA", at positions 28 to 507 of the family's 1533-position model. The record is from RNAcentral.